AAGGCCUUAGCUUAAUUAAAGUGUCUGAGUUGCAUUCAGAAGAUGCGUAGUAGUAUUUCGCAGGCCUUA
RNAcentral lists this transfer RNA (69 nucleotides) under Basiliscus vittatus (brown basilisk). RNAcentral's name for it is "tRNA-Ala". The record is from RNAcentral. Lineage: Eukaryota; Metazoa; Chordata; Lepidosauria; Squamata; Corytophanidae.